This is a non-coding RNA of Meleagris gallopavo (turkey), 1966 nucleotides long. NCBI's taxonomy places the organism in Eukaryota, Metazoa, Chordata, Aves, Galliformes, Phasianidae. The record is from RefSeq and is a predicted model, not a curated record.
GCUUUGAAAGCAUGUGUAGUCUGGCCAACUAGUGACCCAUGUGUAGGGAAACAUAUCUGUCUCCAUUUAUUCGAAGGUGUAAAGAUGAGUUAUUCAGGCAGGCCCAGUGGGAUACAACCAGGAAUAGUGGCUUGGAAAUUAUUAAGAAAAGAAAAAUGCAUGCUGUGUCUACCAGGAAAAACUUCCUAACAACAUUCUUCACACUCUGUGGAAUAACUUUCCAAAGGGGAUGGUUAAAGCCAAGCAUCUCAACGUGCUUUAAAUAGUACUGGGCAAAGUGCUAGGAACUGUUCUGUAGGGAAAAAUUGUUAACUGGUAGAGGAAUGGCUACAUGAUCUGAUAGGUCUUUUCCAUCUCUAAUGUCUACAAUUCAGUUGUGUACUCACACGGUGUUCAAAAACAGUUAAAAGAAAAUUGUCCAGAUGGAAGUUGAAAAUCCCUGUGGCACUCUUUGAAAAAGAGCAAGGGAUAACUGUGGAAUUAUAGCCAACAUUCCUUUUCUCAAUAAAACUGCUUCUAAUAUCCAUGGCUGCAUGUAAACUGUUACUGACUUCAUAAUAGCUGCUCUGUUUACUUGUGGUUCAUCCCAUCAAGCAUUUAGAGAGAGAUACAGAGUAAGAAAGAUCUUCAAGUUUCAGCAGUCGUGUGGAUGGCACACAUCGGGAAUGAGCCCAACACCACAGCACACUGGAGCUAGAUGGAUAAAGUGGGGCAGGUAGCACAGAGCAGAACUGGACGUAGGCUAUGCCUUCACUGCAGCCUUCACCUCGGACAUUCCUCACCAGCUACAAGCACUGGGGGUGCCUUAGAGAAAAUGCAGCUUAUUCUGAUCUUAAUUAAAACCUGUUGUACUUGCAACAAUUCAGUGUUGCCUUCAGUGUACUCUUUCAGUUUGCUGGUGCAACUUCCUCUUGUUUAAACAAAUAAAAUAAUCCCACACCAAUCCAAAGAAACCUGACUUAGUUAAGUAGAUUUGGCCUCUGAAGAGUUGAAAUUGCAAGCUUUAAUUUGUAUUAUUCUGCAAAACAAAUCAGUAAGUCUUACACUGAACGCAUAAGAAGAAACAUUAACAUCCUAAGUACCUGAACCAGCGUCUUGGGAUACUUUCAUGCAAACUGCUCUUUUGAAGAGGAUUCCUUUGUUAGCCCCAUUAAACAGACGCUAUUUCAAAGGAGUGGAAUAAAACAGGUGGGAGAAACUUUGCUGUUGGAUCAGCUGCCCUUCAUCAGUGGUGCAGAGGCCUUUGUGGCUGGUCUUUGAAAGUACAGUCUUCACUGACCCUGAAUCCAAGAUCAAUAGGAAGAAAGGAAGGUUGAUCUUCAGUUGCCCCUUGUCUGAAUGAUGUUAGUGUUAUGAGUUACUUCUGUUUUUAAAAUCAUGGUCAUGAGUGGGGUGAGAUGGGGGUCUAGGUGGAAAAAUCAUUGUAAGUUGCUAGCUUGUAGAAAAUUGUCUUGUAGUGGAGAGCAUCUUUGUUCUGACAGGUUUCUUGAGUUGUGCCAAUAAAAAGAGGGGAGGGGGAAAGGUAUUUCCUUUGUAGUUUAAACAAAUACCUGAAUAUUACUCAAUUUUUAUGUUGUUUUAGUAUUGCCAGCUUUGAGACAAUUCAGCAGCUUAAACUUUUGUUCUUGAUUAGUUCUCAAAGAGCACAUGGUAAAAACAAGAUUUCUUAAUACUUUCUGCUUUGGCCACAUUUAAAAAGUCUGUGAUUUGUAUGAUGAAACAAAAGCAUAAGAAAAACAGUAUGGUCUCUCACUGUUGAUAGGCAGUUAAAGUUCAGGUGUGAGCACACAAACUGUGUGAACGUUCACCUUUCAGUGUCUUCAACAGUAUUUAGUCCUGUUAGUUCUCUCCUAUCUCCUCAAAUGCAGAGGACAAAUGAGUUCCUGAACUGGGAAGAUAGUUUCUAAUUACGAUUCUCUUAAUGCAAAGCACAGCAUACAACCCAAAGUGGAAACAAAAUGACUUG